Long non-coding RNA from Coturnix japonica (Japanese quail), 4180 nucleotides. RefSeq lists it as uncharacterized. NCBI's taxonomy places the organism in Eukaryota, Metazoa, Chordata, Aves, Galliformes, Phasianidae. The record is from RefSeq and is a predicted model, not a curated record.
CCAGCAGCCCAGGCUGCCCAGAGCCACAUCCAGCCUGGCCUUGAAUGCCUGCAGGGAUGGGGCAUCCACAACCAAAAGUUAAAUGGGGCUUGAGCACAUACCUUUGUGAUGGGAGAAGGAUGCUCUGGUGGAGAAACCAGAGCUCACCCUGCCAAGCAUGCUCCCCAAAAUGCCUUUCUUGCCUGUUCCUUGAUGCCUCUUGAAGUUUUCUCCCGUGCUCGUUUUGUGCCAAGUUCCCAUGUGGAAUCACCUGCAGAGAUCUGUGCAAACUUGAAUUCCCCACGGGAGUGCUGGAGCUUGCUGCAGUCUGUCGGGAACGGCUGUUUGCCAUCUGCUUGAGAUGGGCAGCAGAGAACACGUGGCCAUGACAGGUUUGAGUGAGGAACCUUAAAAAGCAGCAGCCUCCAAUAGAGCUCCAUUCAGAGCAGCAGGAUCAGGUCUCUUGCAGUAGCUGGGACAAGACCAGAAUUUAAAUUAGCUACAUACAACAGAGAAGUAACCCCUCUUUGCUCACGGAGGCUUGGUGGGAAGUGGGAGAUGUCACUAUGAUUCUGUGUAUACGGGUAGCUCAGCUAUUUGGAGCGUAUUUGCAGGCCCAAAGUGGGGAUUUUAUUAUCCUCAUGAUCUAAACACACUGGGUAUGGCCAUAGGUUUGUUGUGCUGCUAGUCAGUGUGAGCUUGACUUGGUGGGGAUGCUUAGAAACUGCUUGGGUGAGAUAGUGCUUCCUCUGAACCAGUCUGCCAUGACAAGAAACCCCAGGGGACUGGGUGAAGGUGCUGCCUGAUGAGAGCAGAGAUGAGUUAAGGGUUGAGAUGAGGUGAGGAGGAGUGCUGGCUGGUGGCUGGAGCUGCUGCUGUGGGGACUCUCAGUUGGUGCAUCCAUGCAUUGGAAAUAACAGGCUUGCAAAGCAGAACAGGCUUGAAAAGCAGGGAACACCCAAUGUCUUGGGAGAAGGUAAACGUGUGUUUUUGCUGGAGCUUUGAGGAGCUGGGAUGGCACAGAAGCCAAGAUAAACCCUUAGAGACACAGCUCUGGGUAAGGGGAUUGUCUCAUUCAGAUCUCACAGCUGUCUUACCUGAAAAGGCCCAAAGUCACAAGUUGACUGGGAAAUAUAGGGCAAAGGUAGAAAAAUGGGGCAGCAAUGGCACAGGUUGGGGCAGUGCUGAGGGGCUCAGCUGUUGGAACACACCUUGGCUCUGCAUGCAGGGGGAGUUCUUCAUUCCUUCCCUCUCAUGUUGUCAGAUGCAUGCCCAGCCAACUGACAAAUCCAUCUCUUCAGAGAUCAAUUACAGUGUCUGGCUGCAAAGCCUGGAAAUCCAAUUAACUCCCAAAUAUAUAUUUUUUUUCUGUUAAAUAAAUAAAUAAAUAAAAUGAAAGAAGGGAGAGAGAAAGACAGAGGGAGAAAAAUACAUUCAAGUGGGGGCAUAAAUCACCUCGGAAACAUUCCAAACAUUAAAAUAAACAAGGAUGGGUUUCAACUUCAUUUGUCUUUUUGUGAAACUCUGUCACUGAUUUAUUUUGCUGCUCACAGCCUCAUUUUUGUCUUUGCUCUCUUUCAAAGUUGCCUCCCUGCCUCUGGUGAGGAGCUCUGGGGCUCUGUGCCUCCUGUGGCAGUGCCUUCUCCACACCGUGAUCCCCUCAAGGGACUUCCUUCUCUUGACCGGCUCUGUCACCCUCAGGAGGAAACUUUCCUCUACGCAGUGAUGCCCACAUGGAAACAUCAUGACUGUGCAUUUGCUUGGAAGUAAGCAGGGCCCAAGUGUGUCUCAUUGAGAUGUUAAGAGAAAUAGUGAGAAGUAUUGCAAGGAGUUUAGAGGAAAGAAGUGAGGGCUGAUGUAUUUAUAACAUUUCUGAUUUCUGGAACUGGUCAACAAAGGGCCAAUGAUCACUUUGUUAUCAAAACAAGGGAGCAAGAAUGGUAAUGAAGGAGCAAUGUCAUGCACACAUGAGGUGAGUAAAUCUCCCUUUGGACUUUGAUGAAGCUGCUGUCACCAGGCCUGAUGGUUUGGCUUCAAAGGUGAGUACCUGGGAGUGGCUGCAGUGGGAUGCAGUGUUGCUUCUGGUGGUGGGAGUCUGGUGUCUUGUGUGUGACUCAUCAGGUGUAGAGAUGAGGGUGGUGGAUAUCCUAGCCUUCCUCCUUAGGAUUAUGCCUUAGUGAGGAACACAGGCACUGGCAGUCCAGUGUUUUCACUUCAAUCUUGAUCACCGUCAGCUAAUGGUGUCAGUAGGAGUAGUUAGAGAGAGAAUAAACACUUUCUUGCCUAAAUAAGAGGCUCUUCUGUCUUUCAAGUGCUUGUUAUUUGGCUAAUUUAUCCCAAGUGAGGGUCAUUUGUUAACCUCCUCUUGAAGAGAUUCUGAUAGAGCUGAAGAAAGGGUGACAAUUCCUCUUCACUGCCAGCUAGGAGUGCAGGCACCUAUCCACAGUGGUUGGUAACAGCCACAGAUACCAAUCAUCUCUACAGUAGAUGCAAAUACAGAUAAGCAUCCUUGGGAUGCUGAUGCCCAUCUGGAGUGGCAACAAGCUGAGAGGAAUACCCUCGGACAGCCCAAACAGAAUGAGGUCCUCGUGUUUUGGCAACUGAAUAUCACCCAUCUGUUUCUAAAGAGGGCUUUUGAAUUCAGAGCUCUGUGUGGAAGGAAGAGAGUUGAAAAUGGAGCAGAGAGUGAGCUAGUGAGCCUCAAGAGCAAAUUCAGGUCAGCCCUGGAUUCUGGAGCUGGAGAAUCCAUCUUGCUAAGGCAACAGAGACGUGAUCCCUGCAGCAUCUAUGCUGCUGUCUGCAGUCCCUGUCCCCCACUUUCAAGAAACUUCAUUUUUCAUUCCAGAUGAGAAAGAAUAAUCCUUGGGGGUGGCUGUGAAGAGGAAUUGUCACCCUUCCUCCAGCUCUAUCAGCAACUCUUCAAGAGGCAGUUAACAAAUAACCUUCCUUUGGGAUAAAUUAGCUCUGAAUCCCAAUUCAAUAGCUGCUCAUUUUAAGAUGUCCUUGUUACCUUGUGUGAGUGGCUGAUCUUCCUUUGAAUCCUGCUGUGUUUUCAGACCCCGUGAUUGCUACGAGCAAUCACGAGUUCCACGUUAACAGCUCAUGCACUGAUUGCGCUGCACAGUCCCAACACAACCCUUUGUGAAAAGUUUCUGCAAGUUGAGCUUUGUGUUCCGCCAUCAGAAAGCUACACAGUUCUCACUCCAUCCCAUAUUCAGGCAACUGACUUCAAACGGAGACCGGCUUUGCAAGAGGCUGGUGUGCAGACAAGAUCCGUGCUUCUGAGUCCAGCUUUAGAAAGAAAGUAUUUUAGACAUCGUCAAGGAAACCUGGUGAAGGCACUGAGUUGGCCAACUGUGCCUGCGGGCAGCCUGGAGCAAAGGCUCUGAGAUGUGCAAAUAAUAACGCAAAUGGGUUUAUUUUUUUCUCCAACCCCAGCGUUGUUGCAGAGGAGGAGAGUGGCAUAGCAUGGCUGCAAAGGAAAGAGGUCUGCAUCAGAAGGAAAACCUCCUGCCAUGUCAGCUUGAUCAUACCUUCCAGUGCAACAGCCUUCCCCAGCUACGUUAAUGGCUGCUUCCUGUGGACUGGAAGUAUUGCCAAAGAGUGAGUGAUCCUUACUAAUAUGCAUCUCCAAAAACAACAGGCAGUCUUGCACAGAUCCUCUUAACACGUAUCUUUGGAUUUUGAGACGGUUGAGAGCUAUUUAUUCCCUCUCACACCAAUAUCAUCCAUAGUGCAAGAUGUCUUGAGCUGAUUAAAAAUCUCUUUAAUCAAAUACUGGCAGGGGAAAUGUUCAAAACAUUAGAAGAAUGACUUUGACAAGCUGCCCCUGAACUGAGUGACUUCAUCCAGAGGUUGGCCGGCGUGUGAUACAAAGCCUGCACUCACCUUCAUUUCCAAAGCUGCCAACAAACUGCAGUGAGGAUGCUGAGAGCCAGUAGGGCACUGUAGCCCGUGUUCGGUUCUUUUCUGUGAGAUACUGCCCCCCCAAAAGACCUUUGUUGCAGGCAAAAUCCAUUGCUCAAUUCACCAACCAGUACCUACGCUUGAAAUUCCUAUAUCCCAAAUCCAUGGGAACGAUUUUGAACAUGAACGUAGGCUGGAAAUCAUUGCUGUGCAGAUUGUCUACAGGCUUUUCCCCCCUUUUCUAUGGCUGAAAUGGACUUCAAAAGGAUAAGUAAAAUCCAUUCUGGUAGCUCCC